AGUGAACGCUGGCGGUAGGCCUAACACAUGCAAGUCGAACGGCAGCACAGUAAGAGCUUGCUCUUACGGGUGGCGAGUGGCGGACGGGUGAGGAAUACAUCGGAAUCUACUUUUUCGUGGGGGAUAACGUAGGGAAACUUACGCUAAUACCGCAUACGACCUACGGGUGAAAGCAGGGGAUCUUCGGACCUUGCGCGAUUGAAUGAGCCGAUGUCGGAUUAGCUAGUUGGCGGGGUAAAGGCCCACCAAGGCGACGAUCCGUAGCUGGUCUGAGAGGAUGAUCAGCCACACUGGAACUGAGACACGGUCCAGACACCUACGGGAGGCAGCAGUGGGGAAUAUUGGACAAUGGGCGCAAGCCUGAUCCAGCCAUACCGCGUGGGUGAAGAAGGCCUUCGGGUUGUAAAGCCCUUUUGUUGGGAAAGAAAAGCAGCAGGUUAAUACCCCGCUGUUCUGACGGUACCCAAAGAAUAAGCACCGGCUAACUUCGU
This 491-nucleotide ribosomal RNA is filed under the name uncultured bacterium. Its description in RNAcentral is "partial 16S ribosomal RNA". It matches the Rfam family "Bacterial small subunit ribosomal RNA", at positions 29 to 506 of the family's 1533-position model. The record is from RNAcentral.